GACGAACGCUGGCGGCGUGCUUAACACAUGCAAGUCGAACGAUGAAGCCUAGCUUGCUAGGUGGAUUAGUGGCGAACGGGUGAGUAAUACGUGAGUAACCUACCUUUAACUCUGGGAUAAGCCCGGGAAACUGGGUCUAAUACCGGAUACGACCAAUCUCCGCAUGGGGUGUGGGUGGAAAGCGUUAUGUAGUGGUUAUAGAUGGGCUCACGGCCUAUCAGCUUGUUGGUGAGGUAACGGCUCACCAAGGCGACGACGGGUAGCCGGCCUGAGAGGGUGACCGGCCACACUGGGACUGAGACACGGCCCAGACUCCUACGGGAGGCAGCAGUGGGGAAUAUUGCACAAUGGGCGCAAGCCUGAUGCAGCGACGCCGCGUGAGGGAUGACGGCCUUCGGGUUGUAAACCUCUGUUAGCAGGGAAGAAGAGAGAUUGACGGUACCUGCAGAGAAAGCGCCGGCUAACUACGUG
RNAcentral lists this ribosomal RNA (471 nucleotides) under uncultured bacterium. Its description in RNAcentral is "partial 16S ribosomal RNA". It matches the Rfam family "Bacterial small subunit ribosomal RNA", at positions 28 to 507 of the family's 1533-position model. The record is from RNAcentral.